This 72-nucleotide transfer RNA is filed under the name Heterocephalus glaber (naked mole-rat). It matches the Rfam family "tRNA". Rfam says of the family: Transfer RNA (tRNA) molecules are approximately 80 nucleotides in length. Their secondary structure includes four short double-helical elements and three loops (D, anti-codon, and T loops). The record is from Rfam by way of RNAcentral. Lineage: Eukaryota; Metazoa; Chordata; Mammalia; Rodentia; Bathyergidae.
UGGGGUGUAGCUCAGUGGUAGAGCACUUGCCUAGCAUGCUCAAGGACCCAGGUUCCAUUCCCAGCACCACAA